UCUAGACAACUUCUUUGUAACAGAUUGUCCACGUGACGUUUACAUAUUUAGACAUUGUCUUGUAACGAUCGGGAACGUUCGUUGAUCCCAUCAACACAGGAAGCACUUGGCGGUAGGCAACCUUCUAAAGACCAAACCGGAUCCCGUCCCUGAUCAUUAAAUGCUCUAGAUGCUUCUCUAGGGCGCUGAUUCCAGAGGACGUUUACCUAUGAAUGUUUUGUCAACAUAACCCUAGCUCCAGUUCGGCUGGGGCAUAUGCCAAAUAAAUGUCACGAUGCAUUUCAUUGAUAUUAUUUAUAGAUUAUUCUGGUCUUCUUUUAAAAAACAAGUUUUGGCAAUUAAUACAACGCAUAGAAUAUGUAUUCCAUACGUGGGGGUGUUUUGAAUCAAGAAAUCAAUAGCUAUCGAAGGAUGCCAUUUAACUCACGUGUACGAGAAUUCUGGUUAACACAUAUUUUGAGGCUAUUUAUAUUCAAUGUCAGAUUAUUUUGAGAUUCUUUGUUGUUUAUUCCGGAUUGAUCUUGGCUGAUGACCAAAUAAACACAAAGAAUUUCCACUAUAAAAAGAGGGAAUCGCGAGCACUGCUCCAGCAUUUAAAGAAAGGGCAACCUACAGAGCGAAGUUACAUCAACCUUACGAGGAAAUCAAGAAUCUUGUAAUUAAAUCGCAAUGGACCAGAGAGAGUACCGACACUACAUGAAAGGAGAGCCUCAUUUUCAUCCCGAGAAAAACAUAGUGAACGGAACAGAUGUGUGCAAAGGCGGAAAUCUGCAAGGGCAUCAGGGGAAGGUUCCCGUCGUUCAAAACCCAGUGCGCACGCGAUCGGACAGUGUGUGUUCUGAAAAUGAGGCUCCGCUGGUCGGAUCCCCACCCAUAGUGCCACACCUUGGAUCCGCCUUUGCCUCUCAGAUGUCUCCGCCCUCUACCGGCGGAGUUUUAUCAAGAGCGUUUCAAUUGGAUACAACGCCUAAGGAAAAGCGUUUGUUCCACGAGUUUGACAUUAAAUGGCAGUAGGUUCUUCUAUACAAAACAAUCAAGUGAUCUCAAUCUUUAAUAUAAUAUUGCAUGUAUUUGUGAAAAAAAAGAAAAGAUAGAUGAAUGACCGCGGAAUCAAAGCCGUAAGGAAGUGACUGACAGAGUUUGAAAAUUUGUGCAUUGAAUGUUUCAUGAAUGUAUUUUGAAAGUAUGUGAGAAUGGAAAAAAAAAUCUGACGAGUACAUGUAAAAACUGAUUUACCAAUAAAAUAUAUAUAAAACAGA
Molecule: long non-coding RNA, 1259 nt
Organism: Ostrea edulis (European flat oyster)
Lineage: Eukaryota; Metazoa; Mollusca; Bivalvia; Ostreida; Ostreidae
Exons: 2
Source: RefSeq, a predicted model, not a curated record